This is a long non-coding RNA of Etheostoma cragini (Arkansas darter), 103 nucleotides long. RefSeq lists it as uncharacterized. NCBI's taxonomy places the organism in Eukaryota, Metazoa, Chordata, Actinopteri, Perciformes, Percidae. The record is from RefSeq and is a predicted model, not a curated record. The transcript is spliced from 3 exons.
CUGGAUAGUGUGAUUGGUUGGGGGGUGGAUUGGUCAAACAAACCCAGGACUUUCACCCAGGAGACUGGGGUUCAUGUCCUGUUUGAAAAGAAAAGGAAACUGA